Molecule: ribosomal RNA, 496 nt
Filed under: uncultured bacterium
Lineage: Bacteria
Description: bacterial SSU rRNA
Rfam family: Bacterial small subunit ribosomal RNA
Source: RNAcentral
GACGAACGCUGGCGGCGUGCUUAACACAUGCAAGUCGAACGGUCCUGUUUUUGAAGCGCUUCGGCGUGGAGGGAGCGGGUUAGUGGCGCACGGGUGAGUAACACGUGGAUAAUCUGCCUAUGACACAGGGAUAACACUGUGAAAACGGUGCUAAUACCAGAUACGUUUAUCGAAUCGCAUGGUUUGAUAAAGAAAGGAGCAAUCCGGUCAUAGAUGAGUCCGCGGCUGAUUAGCUAGUUGGUGAGGUAACGGCUCACCAAGGCGAUGAUCAGUAGCCGGCCUGAGAGGGUGAACGGCCACACUGGGACUGAGACACGGCCCAGACUCCUACGGGAGGCAGCAGUGGGGAAUCUUCCGCAAUGGACGAAAGUCUGACGGAGCAACGCCGCGUGGGUGAAGAAGGCCUCGGUUGUAAACCCUGUCUUAUGGGAAGAAAAAUAGACGGUACCAUAGGAGGAAGCCACGGCUAACUACGUGCCAGCAGCCGCGGUAAAGU